RNAcentral lists this ribosomal RNA (484 nucleotides) under uncultured bacterium. RNAcentral's name for it is "partial 16S ribosomal RNA". It matches the Rfam family "Bacterial small subunit ribosomal RNA", at positions 29 to 523 of the family's 1533-position model. The record is from RNAcentral.
AGUGAACGCUGGCGGCGUGCUUAACACAUGCAAGUCGAACGAGAACGGGUUAUAGCUUGCUAUAAUUGUCAGCUAAGUGGCGCACGGGUGAGUAAUGUAUAGGUAAUAUGCCUCUUACUAAGGGAUAACAAUUGGAAACGAUUGCUAAUACCUUAUACUCCUUAUUAACAGAAGUUAAUAAGGGAAAGAUUUAUUGGUAAGAGAUUAGCCUGUAUUGUAUCAGUUAGUUGGUGGGGUAAUGGCUUACCAAGACUAUGACACAUAACUGGUUUGAGAGGAUGAUCAGUCACACUGGAACUGAGACACGGUCCAGACUCCUACGGGAGGCAGCAGUGGGGAAUAUUGCACAAUGGACGAAAGUCUGAUGCAGCAACGCCGCGUGGAGGAUGACACAUUUCGGUGCGUAAACUCCUUUUAUAUGAGAAGAUAAUGACGGUAUUAUAUGAAUAAGCACCGGCUAACUCCGUGCCAGCCGCCGCGGUAA